GGAAAACCUAAAAUUUUCUCUCAAAAUUUCCCUUCUCCUCACGCACGCGGCGCCGUUUCUUCUCUCGGGCGAAAACCCCAGCCAAGGCUAGGGUUCCUCCCUCCGGCGUCGGCGAGGUGUUUUCCGGCCGAUCUCCACCCGUGGGUGACCAUUCCGGCAGGGGAAGCUCGGGGAACACAAGGAAACGGGAGGAAACGAAGCUCUACCGAAACCCUAGGACACUUCUCUUCGGUUGUAAGUCCAAGAACCCGAUAUACGGAUAAAAAUAAAGGAAAAGCUAAAGUGGUGUAGAAGAAGGCGACAGGGAGUCGUUGAUGGUGUGUGUGUGGUGGCUGAUAUGGAAGCUUGGGACCUUGCUAGAAGAAUUUAUAAAUCGUACCUGCUGGUGUUUUUAGUUACUGCUAGAGUAGAAUUUAUUUUGCAUUGCUAAGGAUUGGUAUAGAUUGCUUCAAUGAGAAUCUGCCGUAUGAUUCAUCUUAA
Long non-coding RNA from Zingiber officinale, 480 nucleotides. RefSeq lists it as uncharacterized. Lineage: Eukaryota; Viridiplantae; Streptophyta; Magnoliopsida; Zingiberales; Zingiberaceae. The transcript has 2 exons. The record is from RefSeq and is a predicted model, not a curated record.